Non-coding RNA from Macaca mulatta (Rhesus monkey), 496 nucleotides. NCBI's taxonomy places the organism in Eukaryota, Metazoa, Chordata, Mammalia, Primates, Cercopithecidae. The record is from RefSeq and is a predicted model, not a curated record.
UUGUCUUUUGUUUUUUGCUUGCUGACUUAAGGCACUGAUAAUAUGCUGUCACAUAAUACAGUAACAUUCGAGAUGGAACUGGAGGAGCAGGGAACAUAGAGUGAUCGGGAAGAAAAGAGGGAAUCCUGAGCAGAGAAAACUGGGAAAAGAACCAGAGGGAACGUAAAUGGAAUAGAGCCACAGAGUCAUCUCGAUCUAUGAGAAAAAGGCCACGAGAAUCAAAGGGCCCUCACUCAGCCUUGUUAUCCCUGAGCUCCUGAAUCAGUGCCAGAGACCACCUGUGGAGUCCUAAUAAGAUAAUGUCAAUGAUUCAGCCCUUGGAUGUCUCCUCUAUCUACAGUCACUUCCUGGCUGAUCUCAUCCAGCUUCAUUAAAAAGUAAUUGGCCACUGAAGAAAGUAAAGACUGUUCUACACCUAAGAAGCAAGGACUCAAUUACAGCACGUGUUACUGUAUUAUACCAUUUAAAAUAUUCAAAAUAAAUGGAAGGAAUAAAC